AGCUGAAUUAAUAUAAAUAUGAAGCAGAUUCUGGGUAAAGUAGGAACUGGGGACCCCACAGACCGCAGCUCCUUCCACGCAGGAGACCCGCACAACCAGUCGGAGUCUUUCCCUGAUGACCUCACAACCUGGGGAAGAUGACGGGCUGCGGGCGCAGAGCUGCGCAAAGAGGGCUACAGGCUGGGGCUAAAGCCGCUGUGCUGAAACGGUAAAGGACGCCCCGGGGUCCCUGCACCGGAGGAGAGUGAGGGCUGAGCUGCGGGGCACUCAGGCUCACAAGACCGUCCCGCCACCGCCAUUUCUGGCGCGUCCCAAAGAGGCCUCCCCCGUCUCCAAACGCCCUGCCCCGCACACUCACCUUUUCUCGGCUUCAGGAAUGUCCUGGAGUCUAUGAAUCUUCCAGCACCAUCAGUUCACCGCGUGAUGGAGGCUGAGGCUGUGGCCGAAUCACCGAGACCCUUGGAAAGAAGACACAGGGCAGUGAAGAGCUAACCUCGAGCUCUGGCUGGAGCAAGAGACAAAGGCCCCGCCAGGUACCGGGAGCCACCCCUUCCUCUCUGACUGUGAACCUGAUUGGACAGUUCCCACCCCAGCGCCCUUAAUGGAUAGAGCUCCAGGCUCCGCGCCCUCAGGCCUUGAGUGACAGAAGACGCGAUCAGACCUUGCACUGAAUACCGCGAGCGUGACAGGCUCUUGGCUCCAGUCAUUUCAGGAAGGGCUAUCUCUGGGUUGGGCCCACAUGUGCCCAGGGGUUAUUUUAAAUCUUGUGUAUAAGGUUAUGUCCAUUUAUAAAUUUUAUUCAUACACACAUAUAUGUUGUUCACAAAUGGAAACACUAUAAUAACAAUUAUUUUAAAAUUUAACAUUUCAUAAGCUUUCUGGCCUUUAGUCUUUUGAGUAGGCAACCUGGGAUUUUAAAAGAAAAACAGGGCCGGGAGUGGUGGCACCAAGAAGAAAAAAAGUUUAUAGAAUCUCAAAAAGAAAUAAGAAAAAGGCGGGGCAUGGUGGCUCACGCCUGUAAUUCCGGCACUUUGGGAGACCGAGGCGGGC
Molecule: long non-coding RNA, 1050 nt
Filed under: Homo sapiens (human)
Lineage: Eukaryota; Metazoa; Chordata; Mammalia; Primates; Hominidae
Description: HSALNT0257171
Source: RNAcentral